This 1123-nucleotide ribosomal RNA is filed under the name Bacteroides thetaiotaomicron. RNAcentral describes it as "partial 16S ribosomal RNA". Lineage: Bacteria; Pseudomonadati; Bacteroidota; Bacteroidia; Bacteroidales; Bacteroidaceae. The record is from RNAcentral.
AUCCUGUCACCAGGUAGCUGCCUUCUGUACCCCCCAUUGUAACACGUGUGUAGCCCCGGACGUAAGGGCCGUGCUGAUUUGACGUCAUCCCCACCUUCCUCACAUCUUACGACGGCAGUCUCUCCAGAGUCCUCAGCAUGACCUGUUAGUAACUGAAGAUAAGGGUUGCGCUCGUUAUGGCACUUAAGCCGACACCUCACGGCACGAGCUGACGACAACCAUGCAGCACCUUCACAAAUGCCUUGCGGCUAACCUGUUUCCAGAUUAUUCAUUUGCAAUUUAAGCCCGGGUAAGGUUCCUCGCGUAUCAUCGAAUUAAACCACAUGUUCCUCCGCUUGUGCGGGCCCCCGUCAAUUCCUUUGAGUUUCACCGUUGCCGGCGUACUCCCCAGGUGGAAUACUUAAUGCUUUCGCUUGGCCGCUUACUGUAUAUCGCAAACAGCGAGUAUUCAUCGUUUACUGUGUGGACUACCAGGGUAUCUAAUCCUGUUUGAUACCCACACUUUCGAGCAUCAGUGUCAGUUGCAGUCCAGUGAGCUGCCUUCGCAAUCGGAGUUCUUCGUGAUAUCUAAGCAUUUCACCGCUACACCACGAAUUCCGCCCACCUCUACUGUACUCAAGACAGCCAGUAUCAACUGCAAUUUUACGGUUGAGCCGCAAACUUUCACAACUGACUUAACUGUCCACCUACGCUCCCUUUAAACCCAAUAAAUCCGGAUAACGCUCGGAUCCUCCGUAUUACCGCGGCUGCUGGCACGGAGUUAGCCGAUCCUUAUUCAUAUGGUACAUACAAAAAUCCACACGUGGACCACUUUAUUCCCAUAUAAAAGAAGUUUACAACCCAUAGGGCAGUCAUCCUUCACGCUACUUGGCUGGUUCAGACUCCCGUCCAUUGACCAAUAUUCCUCACUGCUGCCUCCCGUAGGAGUUUGGACCGUGUCUCAGUUCCAAUGUGGGGGACCUUCCUCUCAGAACCCCUAUCCAUCGAAGGUUUGGUGAGCCGUUACCUCACCAACUGCCUAAUGGAACGCAUCCCCAUCGAUAACCGAAAUUCUUUAAUAAUUAAACCAUGCGGUUUUAUUAUACUAUCGGGUAUUAAUCUUUCUUUCGAAAGGCUAUCCCCG